Molecule: long non-coding RNA, 337 nt
Organism: Cavia porcellus (domestic guinea pig)
Lineage: Eukaryota; Metazoa; Chordata; Mammalia; Rodentia; Caviidae
Exons: 2
Source: RefSeq, a predicted model, not a curated record
CGCCGUCCCCGCGGGGCCCCCGUGUCCUUUACCAGGCGAAUGUCCCCGGGGCCGUGCACCACCAGGGACAGGUUCUCGGCCUUGGCCGGCGCCGCCAUGUCGCUUGAGCCGCGGUAGUGAAGGUUGGAGUCGGCGGGACGCACAGUGAUUCUGGUCCCAGCUCGAUACUCCUCUAUAAUGACUGAACACUGACGAUACAGAGAGGUGGCUGGUAACUGUGGAAAGGAGUUUUGUGAAAAAACGGGAGGAGAGGCCAUCUUGGAAUGAGACCUUUGUCCACUGACCCAGGAAAUACAGAGCCCGCAUAAAUAAACCAGCAGUUAACUGUCGUCCACAA